This 71-nucleotide transfer RNA is filed under the name Parupeneus chrysopleuron (yellow-striped goatfish). RNAcentral describes it as "tRNA-Met". It matches the Rfam family "tRNA". Rfam says of the family: Transfer RNA (tRNA) molecules are approximately 80 nucleotides in length. Their secondary structure includes four short double-helical elements and three loops (D, anti-codon, and T loops). Further hydrogen bonds mediate the characteristic L-shaped molecular structure. tRNAs have two regions of fundamental functional importance: the anti-codon, which is responsible for specific mRNA codon recognition, and the 3' end, to which the tRNAs corresponding amino acid is attached (by aminoacyl-tRNA synthetases). tRNAs cope with the degeneracy of the genetic code in two manners: having more than one tRNA (with a specific anti-codon) for a particular amino acid; and 'wobble' base-pairing, i.e. permitting non-standard base-pairing at the 3rd anti-codon position. Lineage: Eukaryota; Metazoa; Chordata; Actinopteri; Syngnathiformes; Mullidae. The record is from RNAcentral.
AGUAAGGUAAGCUAAGUUCAAGCUCUUGGGCUCAUGACCCAGAAAUGUGGGUUAAAAUCCCUCCUUUACUA